GGGCAAUCCUGGUGGCGAGUGGCGAACGGGUGAGUAAUAUAUCGGAACGUGCCCAGUCGUGGGGGAUAACGUAGCGAAAGCUACGCUAAUACCGCAUACGAUCUAUGGAUGAAAGCGGGGGAUCGCAAGACCUCGCGCGAUUGGAGCGGCCGAUAUCAGAUUAGGUAGUUGGUGAGGUAAAGGCUCACCAAGCCGACGAUCUGUAGCUGGUCUGAGAGGACGACCAGCCACACUGGGACUGAGACACGGCCCAGACUCCUACGGGAGGCAGCAGUGGGGAAUUUUGGACAAUGGGCGCAAGCCUGAUCCAGCAAUGCCGCGUGCAGGAUGAAGGCCUUCGGGUUGUAAACUGCUUUUGUACGGAACGAAACGGUGAGCUCUAAUACAGUUUGCUAAUGACGGUACCGUAAGAAUAAGCACCGGCUAACUACGUG
RNAcentral lists this ribosomal RNA (434 nucleotides) under uncultured bacterium. RNAcentral's name for it is "bacterial SSU rRNA". It matches the Rfam family "Bacterial small subunit ribosomal RNA", at positions 77 to 507 of the family's 1533-position model. The record is from RNAcentral.